RNAcentral lists this ribosomal RNA (445 nucleotides) under uncultured bacterium. RNAcentral describes it as "partial 16S ribosomal RNA". It matches the Rfam family "Bacterial small subunit ribosomal RNA", at positions 354 to 796 of the family's 1533-position model. The record is from RNAcentral.
GUGAGGAAUAUUGGUCAAUGGACGGAAGUCUGAACCAGCCAUGCCGCGUGCAGGAAUAAGGUCCUAUGGAUUGUAAACUGCUUUUAUUCGGGAAUAAACCUCUUUACGUGUAGGGAGCUGAAGGUACCGAAGGAAUAAGCACCGGCUAACUCCGUGCCAGCAGCCGCGGUAAUACGGAGGGUGCAAGCGUUAUCCGGAAUCAUUGGGUUUAAAGGGUCCGCAGGCGGGCUAUCAAGUCAGAGGUGAAAUCCCACAGCUUAACUGUGGAACUGCCUUUGAAACUGAUGGUCUUGAAUUAAGUGGGCGUUGGCGGAAUAUGACAUGUAGCGGUGAAAUGCAUAGAUAUGUCAUGGAACACCGAAAGCGAAGGCAGCUAACGAUACUUAUGUUGACGCUCAUGGACGAAAGCGUGGGUAGCGAACAGGAUUAGAUACCCCAGUAGUCC